UUGAAGUUAAGAUUGUCGGUAAAGCCUACUAAAAAAGCACGAGUUUUGGCGAUGAUGUAGAUUACCAAGCAUUACAUUGAACGGUACUAGUCUUUUUUCGUAAUCUGGACCUCAUUGGUAUGAACACGUGAGGCAGAGAGAAGACAUAUCUACCACACUUAUACAGAUCUAAUUUCUAGAGCGUUGUGGUUUUGCAGCUGACACAAACUCGGGUCUACAGCAAAACAAGCAUGUGGGUGACAUCUAUCCUCCUGUGCUUGGCGUGUGGAGUACUGACGGGCGAGCUGCAAGGCGAGGGAAGGCUAGGUAAUGCUUGGAAAGAUGGCAAGGUAGUGGAAGAGGUGGCUAGCUUAGUGGAAGGAAAGCUGAGGGAGUGUCACGUUGUCUUAGUGCAUGCCGGGACCUCCACACACCUGGCAGAACGCAUCAUCAGAAGAGUGUGGGGAAGUGGCGGCACGCGUGAGGAUGUGGCCCUGGUGGUGGUGGACGCGGAGGCACUUCGAGGACAUCAGCGCAAAACCAUGGAAGACAACCUGUGGGGGGACCCGAGGUUGGCGUGUCGGGCUGUGCUACUAGCCACUCGUGUACCUGACGAGGCGCCCUCUCUGCUCAGUUUCCUGGAGGAGUCGGGGCUGUGGCGGUGGUCAGCGGCGUGGGUGGUGGUGGUGGGGGAGGCCUCUGUGGUGGACGUUACCCUGAUGCACCACGCCCUCAGAAACACAGUCCGCGCCCUGUACUUCCCGCUCCCAGGCACUGCACGCCACAGGGACGCCUUUACAGCAGCGGUAGGAGAGAGGGUGAAGAAGGAGGCGCAACAGAAGGAGGUGCAGCGGGAGGAGGAAGAGGAGGAGAUCGAGGUGUACCAGCGGUGUCUGUACUGUGCAAAUGGAGACAUGGGCGUGAUGGAAACGACUCCACAUCAGCUGGUCACGGAGCUUCCCAGAGUGUUCAAUGGUCACAAGUUCCGCGUGGUGACCAUCAAGUACUUCCCAACCAUUGACCACGAGCCGGAGGGUGCUGGCGGCCUGGACACGAGGGUCAGACUCAGGGACUCCCUCAACACCCGCAUGCUGGUGGACAUCGCCAGGCACCUCAACUUCACAUACGAGACACACGAGCCGCUUGAUAGACAGUGGGGGUCUGAUCUCGGGGGAGGCAAUUGGACUGGCCUCGUGGGCACUCUGCAGCGUCAGGAGGCAGACUUCUCCACCACCAUCACGCCCACAGCAGCCCGGCUCCUCAUCAUGCGACACUCCAAGAUCUACGCCUCGGACCCCUUUGUGAUCGUGUCCCUCAAGACGCAGACUAAAGCUGAGCACAUGGCCAUAGCAAAGCCCUUUCCUGGUGAGGUGUGGGUGAUGGUCGGGGUGAGCGUGGCGGCCUCGGGUAUCGCUGCAGUGUUGCUGAAGGCGGCAGUAAAGGAGCAAUGGAGGGCCAGGGAGACUCGAGGCACUUCAAGCAAACAGUCAACCUUACUCUACCUGUGGGGCGUCCUGCUGGAAACCCCUCCUAACCUCCCGCCCAUGUCAGUCACCAUUAAGGUGCUGGUGGCGUGGUGGCUCCUCAGCUGUCUGGUUCUGUCCGCCGCCUACAGGUCUUCCCUCGCCGCGCAUUUCACAGUGGGGGUGAAGGCGCCGCCCGUGGACUCCUUCGUGGACCUGGUGGCGCGGGACAGCUGGCGGUGGGGCAGUGAACCAUUAGGAGGCGCCUCACUCUUUUACUUCACCAGCAGCAUUGACGCCACCACCCGCGCCGUGUUUGCCAAGAUGGAGGUGAGGCGAUGCAAAGCGAGGCGUGUCCUGUGCAUUCUAAAGGAUCGGCGCGCCCUGCCUCCCUGCCAUCACUGUCAUGACGCAGAGACUCAUCGAGGGCGGCCUCAUAAGCUAUUGGCUAGUUGACGUCAUUGCCACCAGGGUACGUGAGGAGAGAAGGGUAGGCUCGACCUACAGCCAAGCCCUUGCCGAGCACUGGACUUCCCCUUCAGAGUCUGAAGGGGACGAGGAGGUGGUGGUGAGGAUGGCACACCUAUACGCAGCCUUCUACAUCCUGGCAGCGGGUCUGGCCCUCAGCUGCCUCGCCUUCUCCGGGGAGAUUCUAUUAGCCCGCUAUUGUUGCGGUGCUUA
This 2123-nucleotide unclassified non-coding RNA is filed under the name Portunus trituberculatus (swimming crab). Its description in RNAcentral is "probable glutamate receptor, transcript variant X2". Lineage: Eukaryota; Metazoa; Arthropoda; Malacostraca; Decapoda; Portunidae. The record is from RNAcentral.